RNAcentral lists this ribosomal RNA (251 nucleotides) under uncultured bacterium. Its description in RNAcentral is "partial 16S ribosomal RNA". It matches the Rfam family "Bacterial small subunit ribosomal RNA", at positions 524 to 776 of the family's 1533-position model. The record is from RNAcentral.
GACGGGGGGGGCAAGUGUUCUUCGGAAUGACUGGGCGUAAAGGGCACGUAGGCGGUGAAUCGGGUUGAAAGUGAAAGUCGCCAAAAAGUGGCGGAAUGCUCUCGAAACCAAUUCACUUGAGUGAGACAGAGGAGAGUGGAAUUUCGUGUGUAGGGGUGAAAUCCGUAAAUAUACGAAGGAACGCCAAAAGCGAAGGCAGCUCUCUGGGUCCCUACCGACGCUGAGGUGCGAAAGCGUGGGGAGCGAACAGG